GACGAACGCUGGCGGCGUGCUUAACACAUGCAAGUCGAACGGAAAGGCCCUGCUCUUGUGGGGUGCUCGAUUGGUGAACGGGUGAGUAACACGUGAGUAGCCUGCCCUUGACUUUGUGAUAACUUCAGGAAACUGGGGCUAUUACCGGAUAUAAGCUCCUGCUGCAUGGUGGGGGUUGGAAAGUUUCGGCGGUUGUGGAUGGACUCGCGGCUUCUGCGUUUGUUGGUGGGGUAGGGGAUUCCAAAGGCUUGGAGGGUAGCCGUCCUGAGAGGGUGACCGGCGACAAUGGGACUGAGAUACGGCCCAGAAUCCUACGGGAGGCAGCAGUGGGGAAUAUUGCAGAAUGGGCGGAAGCCUGAUGCAGCAACGCCGCGUGCGGGAUGAUGGCCUUCGGGUUGUAAACCGCUUUCGCCUGUGACGAAGCGGGAGUGACGGUAAUGGGUAAAGAAGCAACGGCUAACUACGUG
This 467-nucleotide ribosomal RNA is filed under the name uncultured bacterium. RNAcentral's name for it is "partial 16S ribosomal RNA". It matches the Rfam family "Bacterial small subunit ribosomal RNA", at positions 28 to 507 of the family's 1533-position model. The record is from RNAcentral.